RNAcentral lists this ribosomal RNA (431 nucleotides) under uncultured bacterium. Its description in RNAcentral is "partial 16S ribosomal RNA". It matches the Rfam family "Bacterial small subunit ribosomal RNA", at positions 29 to 507 of the family's 1533-position model. The record is from RNAcentral.
AACGAACGCUGGCGGCAGGCUUAACACAUGCAAGUCGAACGCCCCGCAAGGGGAGUGGCCGCCGGGUGCGUAACGCGUGGGAACAUACCCUUUCCUGCGGAAUAGCUCCGGGAAACUGGAAUUAAUACCGCAUACGCCCUACGGGGGAAAGAUUUAUCGGGGAAGGAUUGGCCCGCGUUGGAUUAGCUAGUUGGUGGGGUAAAGGCCUACCAAGGCGACGAUCCAUAGCUGGUCUGAGAGGAUGAUCAGCCACAUUGGGACUGAGACACGGCCCAAACUCCUACGGGAGGGAGCAGUGGGGAAUAUUGGACAAUGGGCGCAAGCCUGAUCCAGCCAUGCCGCGUGAGUGAUGAAGGCCUUAGGGUUGUAAAGCUCUUUCACCGAUGAAGAUAAUGACGGUAGUCGGAGAAGAAGCCCCGGCUAACUUCGUG